GUGCUUCCUUCGGCAGCACAUAUACUAAAAUUGGAACAAUACAAAGAUUAGCACGUCCCCUGUGCAAGGAUAACACCCAAAUUCGUGAAGUGUUCCAUAUUUUU
Heterocephalus glaber (naked mole-rat) is the source of this 104-nucleotide small nuclear RNA. NCBI's taxonomy places the organism in Eukaryota, Metazoa, Chordata, Mammalia, Rodentia, Bathyergidae. The record is from Ensembl.